Molecule: ribosomal RNA, 253 nt
Filed under: uncultured bacterium
Lineage: Bacteria
Description: partial 16S ribosomal RNA
Rfam family: Bacterial small subunit ribosomal RNA
Source: RNAcentral
UACGGGGGGGGCAAGCGUUGUUCGGAAUUACUGGGCGUAAAGGGCUCGUAGGCGGCCCUCUCAGUCGGAUGUGAAAUCCCCAGGCUUAACCUGGGAACGGCAUCCGAUACUGGAGGGCUUGAAUUCGGGAGAGGGAUGCAGAAUUCCAGGUGUAGCGGUGAAAUGCGUAGAUAUCUGGAGGAACACCGGUGGCGAAGGCGGCAUCCUGGACCGGCAUUGACGCUGAGGCGCGAAAGCCAGGGGAGCAAACGGG